GAUCCUGGCUCAGGAUGAACGCUAGCUACAGGCUUAACACAUGCAAGUCGAGGGGCAGCAUGAACUUAGCUUGCUAAGUUUGAUGGCGACCGGCGCACGGGUGAGUAACACGUAUCCAACCUUCCGUUUACUCAGGGAUAGCCUUUCGAAAGAAAGAUUAAUACCUGAUAGUAUGGUGAGAUUGCAUGAUAACACCAUUAAAGAUUUAUUGGCAAACGAUGGGGAUGCGUUCCCAUUAGGG
Molecule: ribosomal RNA, 241 nt
Filed under: uncultured bacterium
Lineage: Bacteria
Description: partial 16S ribosomal RNA
Rfam family: Bacterial small subunit ribosomal RNA
Source: RNAcentral